UACGUAGGGUGCGAGCGUUAAUCGGAAUUACUGGGCGUAAAGCGUGCGCAGGUGGUUUUGUAAGUCAGAUGUGAAAUCCCCGGGCUUAACCUGGGAACUGCAUUUGUGACUGCAUCGCUGGAGUGCGGCAGAGGGGAUGGAAUUCCGCGUGUAGCAGUGAAAUGCGUAGAUAUGCGGAGGAACACCGAUGGCGAAGGCAAUCCCCUGGGCCUGCACUGACGCUCAUGCACGAAAGCGUGGGGAGCAAACAGG
This 252-nucleotide ribosomal RNA is filed under the name uncultured bacterium. RNAcentral's name for it is "partial 16S ribosomal RNA". It matches the Rfam family "Bacterial small subunit ribosomal RNA", at positions 524 to 776 of the family's 1533-position model. The record is from RNAcentral.